UCCUUCUGGAAAUGUGAGACCAAAUAAUCUUCUAUGAAUCGCCUUGGCCAUGGUAUUCCAUUGCAGCAAUUGAAUAUGCAUAGAACAUGUGGAGGACUGCAGACUUAGAGAGACAACUGAGAGAAGCCAAGGGAUCCAGGCAAGGUGUGAAAUCUCCACUUCAUAAAAGAAAUUUGCUAGACAUACAAUCAGGCGCUGAUUCACCACUUUCUACUGUAUUGAUGAAGAACAUUUUAGCCUUAUUUCCACCCACUGGACUCAGGGCCUGUGUCCUGCCCAGGGAGCUGUGGAAGGAGAGAAGCCCUGCGGCCAUACUCGCUGCCUGCUGGGACACAAAAGGA
Apodemus sylvaticus (European woodmouse) is the source of this 341-nucleotide long non-coding RNA. RefSeq lists it as uncharacterized. NCBI's taxonomy places the organism in Eukaryota, Metazoa, Chordata, Mammalia, Rodentia, Muridae. The transcript is spliced from 3 exons. The record is from RefSeq and is a predicted model, not a curated record.